CCGUGCAAUGGAUCAGGAAUUAGGAUCGCUCGGUAUGGCAUCCGACGUACCAGGACAUGCUAUUGCUAGAGGAAUGAAUUCCUUCCCUUUGGGUUAUUAAAAGCAGAUUCAACUGCUCAUCCAAGUUGACGAACUGAAUUCUGAAGAAAAGGGGAAAAGUUGAUGAAGAACGGGUCGCUGUCGUUCUCCAACGCACUUGCCGAAAUGCCAAACGGAAAAACUAACAUGAGCUGAGUGCAUAUAUAGGAUUUUAUGGGGCAGCUGCAAAUGGGGAAGUGAAACUGGUUUUCAGUUAAGAUGAACAGUGGAUAAUUAAAGCAGCGAAUUCAAACA
Oryza sativa Japonica Group (Japanese rice) is the source of this 333-nucleotide long non-coding RNA. RefSeq lists it as uncharacterized. Lineage: Eukaryota; Viridiplantae; Streptophyta; Magnoliopsida; Poales; Poaceae. The record is from RefSeq and is a predicted model, not a curated record.